GGGGCGCCUUGGGAGGUAGGGUUGCGCUGGCCACGUGACGGGACCCGUUCCAGCCGCCCGAGGGUUAAAGCCUCUAGUGCCGUAAUUGUGACCCCGCAAGGCUUCGUUGACGAAGCGCUUUUUUGGUAUUUUCGCUACCUUCACCGACCACUCUGCAACUGUCUAGUUCUAACUCAGGUUCCGUGGACUCCCUGAACAAAAUGCAAAUGGAAAAUCUACAUACUCUGCCUCCACUUCAAGAACUCCUCUGGGGUCCUGCCUCAAUUACGGGGUCACCCACCGUGCUGUACUUUGAAAGACUCGCAGCAACUACCUUAUCCAGGAUAAGCCAACCCAAUCUUUGCAAGCCUUUGGAAUAGGGACACGGAGAUGCCAGUCCAUCUCUGCCGGUCACCUGAAGAGAAAACACGGGAACUUGGGAGUUGUGCACGUGGAAGCAGGAAAAACUUGUUUUCCGAGCAGCAAAUAACAAUGACCUGGCGGGACAAGAAGAUUAUGGAAACAGCUGCCUAAGUUCCUGGUGGCAUCCCAGUCCUUGUCACAGUGUCUCUUCAGGCCCAGCUGUUUGGCCGUUAUGAGAUGACCCUACCUAGUCCUUUUAAUUAAUUGCCUUAUUAUGAUUAAACUGGCUGUGAGAGUGUCUGCUGCUUGAAGCCAAGGGAUCUUGGUGCCGCUGUGCCCCGUACCAUUUCGCAGGGCAGAGCCUGGAGCAAACUCCUGACACAGUUUUUCUUUCUAAAUCGAUUGUGGAGUCUAGUGUCAGGUAAGAAGUGUGACGUAAACAUUGGGUUCCAGGGAUUCAGACUCAAGUCAACUAGAAACAUCAAGAAGGCAUAUGUGGACUUCAGAACAAAUGUUUAUUACUGCUUAACGGGGCCAAGGGGGCAACACAAAGCACUGACAACAUCACUGACUCACAGAGACAGUCACCUGGUCACUUUUUGGUUGAAUCUGUUUAUUUCACAAGGCUUCAUUCACACAUGAAAACAAGAUACUGAUUCAAGUUCGUAACUGUUAAAAAAGUAAACAUUUCUUGGGACAAUGUACAAUAAAUUGCACUUUUCUUAACAAGCAUUACAUUUACAGAUAGCAUGUACUAUACAUAAUACAUGGAAUUGUGGAAACAUCGAAUUGGUCAGUGUUCACAGAGGCUGCUCACUCAUGUUUCUUUUGUAGUCAGCACUACAAUCAACUCCUUUAUUCUAGAACCUGUUUUCAUUAGAGAAGUCGUGGGCAAAAUCAUAGAAUUCAUAAAAAACAAAUGGUACAGAAUUUCUGCUACCUCCUCUGCAAGGGAAAGGUAGGAGUUGAAGGAAAGGAAGUGAUGCUCGCUGAGAAAGGUCUUCCUUCAUUGGAACUGAGGAUCUAGACAUUAGCAAAACACCAAAAACAGAGAAACUGAUGCAAAGGGCUAUUGGGUCAUCUUGGAUUCUGGGACCAUCUCCAGCUUGAUCCUUGUGCUUUCAUGACACCAGAGUCUUGAUGCAUUUAUGUACUUCUAAUUAAGUUUCCCUAUACUUUAUUCCAUAUAUAAUAUAUAGUUAUUAAAAGGUACAUUUUUAAUGGAAAAGAUUUUACAUGUUAACUCAUUGCCAAUGAAAAAGUAAAGUAACUUUAAAAUGUU
This is a long non-coding RNA of Hyaena hyaena (striped hyena), 1624 nucleotides long. RefSeq lists it as uncharacterized. The record is from RefSeq and is a predicted model, not a curated record. Lineage: Eukaryota; Metazoa; Chordata; Mammalia; Carnivora; Hyaenidae. The transcript has 2 exons.